RNAcentral lists this ribosomal RNA (588 nucleotides) under uncultured bacterium. RNAcentral's name for it is "partial 16S ribosomal RNA". It matches the Rfam family "Bacterial small subunit ribosomal RNA", at positions 355 to 1375 of the family's 1533-position model. The record is from RNAcentral.
UGGGGAAUUUUGGACAAUGGGCGAAAGCCUGAUCCAGCAAUGCCGCGUGUGUGAAGAAGGCCUUCGGGUUGUAAAGCACUUUUGUCCGGAAAGAAAUCCUCUGGGUUAAUACCUCGGGGGGAUGACGGUACCGGAAGAAUAAGCACCGGCUAACUACGUGCCAGCAGCCGCGGUAAUACGUAGGGUGCAAGCGUUAAUCGGAAUUACUGGGCGUAAAGCGUGCGCAGGCGGUUUUGUAAGACGGAUGUGAAAUCCCCGGGCUUAACCUGGGAACUGCAUUCGUGACUGCAAGGCUAGAGUAUGGCAGAGGGGGGUAGAAUUCCACGUGUAGCAGUGAAAUGCGUAGAGAUGUGGAGGAAUACCGAUGGCGAAGGCAGCCCCCUGGGCCAAGUACUGACGCUCAUGCACGAAAGCGUGGGGAGCAAACAGGAUUAGAUACCCUGGUAGUCCACGCCCUAAACGAUGUCAACUAGUUGUUGGGGGAUUCAUUUCCUUAGUAACGUAGCUAACGCGUGAAGUUGACCGCCUGGGGGAGUACGGUCGCAAGAUUAAAACUCAAAUGAAUUGACGGGGUCAUAGCUGUUUCCU